AUGGCAACUGGCCAGUACUCUUCUGCAUGGCAGCUUAUUAAAUCUGACAACUGCACAAACUCCACCCCAUCGAGGUUCAUGCCAGAUGCUCUCAGCAUCUCAAUAUUGUACCUGCCAAUAGUCUGCACUUUGCAUAUGUUACCACCAAUCUUAGGGUCCAUUAGAGCAAACCAAUCUGCCAUCAACAUUUUAACUUCGCAUCCAGCUUUAACCAACUUAUUAACAUUAAUUGUCAUUGAAAUUCCCUGCACAACAAGGAUAAAUCCAUUUAAAACAUGUAGUGAAGAUCGAAUACAGGAUUGA
This 303-nucleotide ribosomal RNA is filed under the name Triticum aestivum (bread wheat). RNAcentral's name for it is "partial small subunit ribosomal RNA". Lineage: Eukaryota; Viridiplantae; Streptophyta; Magnoliopsida; Poales; Poaceae. The record is from RNAcentral.